This 27-nucleotide non-coding RNA is filed under the name Mus musculus (house mouse). Lineage: Eukaryota; Metazoa; Chordata; Mammalia; Rodentia; Muridae. The record is from RNAcentral.
UAGGGUCGGUAAGCUCCUUAAUGUGCG